RNAcentral lists this ribosomal RNA (119 nucleotides) under Lepisosteus oculatus (spotted gar). The record is from RNAcentral. Lineage: Eukaryota; Metazoa; Chordata; Actinopteri; Semionotiformes; Lepisosteidae.
GCCAGCGGCUCUAUCACCUGGCCUCUCACAACUUGGCAGCCCACUGAAGCUCAGCAGGUGUGAGCCCGGUCAGUACCUGGAUGGGAGACCUCCUGGGAAAGCUAAGGCUGCUGCUGGAA